AUACGGAGGGUGCAAGCGUUGUUCGGAUUUACUGGGCGUAAAGGGCGUGUAGGCGGAUAUGCAAGCUGGAGGUGAAAGCCCCGGGCUCAACCCGGGAAUUGCUUUGAAGAACUGCAUAUCUAGAGAAAGUCAGAGGCAGGUGGAAUUCCAGGUGUAGAGGUGAAAUUCGUAGAGAUCUGGAGGAACACCGGCGGCGAAGGCGGCCUGCUGGGGCUUUUCUGACGCUGAGGCGCGAAAGCGUGGGGAGCAAACAGGAUUAGAAACCCCGGUAGUCC
Molecule: ribosomal RNA, 275 nt
Filed under: uncultured bacterium
Lineage: Bacteria
Description: partial 16S ribosomal RNA
Rfam family: Bacterial small subunit ribosomal RNA
Source: RNAcentral